This is a transfer RNA of Ovis aries (sheep), 72 nucleotides long. It matches the Rfam family "tRNA". From Rfam's summary of the family: Transfer RNA (tRNA) molecules are approximately 80 nucleotides in length. Their secondary structure includes four short double-helical elements and three loops (D, anti-codon, and T loops). The record is from Rfam. Lineage: Eukaryota; Metazoa; Chordata; Mammalia; Artiodactyla; Bovidae.
UCCUUGGUGGUUCAGAGGGUAAAGCAUCUGCCUGCAACGCAGGAGACCUGGGUUUGAAUCCUGGGUCAGGAA